GCUUAGAAGCAGCCAUCAUUUAAAGAGUGCGUAAUAGCUCACUAGUCGAGUGACACUGCGCCGAAAAUGUACCGGGGCUAAACAUAUUACCGAAGCUGUGGAUUGUCCUUUGGACAAUGGUAGGAGAGCGUUCUAAGGGCGUCGAAGCAUGAUCGCAAGGACAUGUGGAGCGCUUAGAAGUGAGAAUGCCGGUGUGAGUAGCGAAAGACGGGUGAGAAUCCCGUCCACCGAUUGACUAAGGUUUCCAGAGGAAGGCUCGUCCGCUCUGGGUUAGUCGGGUCCUAAGCUGAGGCCGACAGGCGUAGGCGAUGGAUAACAGGUUGAUAUUCCUGUACCACCUAGUAUCGUUUUAAUCGAUGGGGGGACGCAGUAGGAUAGGCGAAGCGUGCUGUUGGAGUGCACGUCCAAGCAGUAAGGCUGAGUGUUAGGCA
This 431-nucleotide ribosomal RNA is filed under the name Aplanochytrium sp. PBS07. RNAcentral describes it as "partial Bacterial large subunit ribosomal RNA". It matches the Rfam family "Bacterial large subunit ribosomal RNA", at positions 1104 to 1538 of the family's 2925-position model. The record is from RNAcentral. Lineage: Eukaryota; Bigyra; Thraustochytrida; Thraustochytriidae.